Molecule: unclassified non-coding RNA, 315 nt
Filed under: plant metagenome
Description: partial contains 5.8S ribosomal RNA, internal transcribed spacer 2, and large subunit ribosomal RNA
Rfam family: 5.8S ribosomal RNA (bases 1-105)
Source: RNAcentral
GAACUGCGAUAAGUAAUGUGAAUUGCAGAAUUCAGUGAAUCAUCGAGUCUUUGAACGCACAUUGCGCCCCCUGGCUUUCCGGGGGGCAUGCCUGUCCGAGCGUCAUUGCUGCCCUUCAAGCCCGGCUUGUGUGUUGGGUCGUCGUCCCCUCCGGGGGACGGGCCCGAAAGGCAGCGGCGGCACCGCGUCCGGUCCUCGAGCGUAUGGGGCUUUGUCACCCGCUCGAUAAGGACCGGCCGGGCGCCAGCCGGCGUCUCCAACCUUUUUUUCUCAGGUUGACCUCGGAUCAGGUAGGGAUACCCGCUGAACUUAAGC